CCUUACACAUGCAAGUCGAACGGCAGCAUGAUCUAGCUUGCUAGAUUGAUGGCGAGUGGCGAACGGGUGAGUAAUACAUCGGAACGUGCCCUGUAGUGGGGGAUAACUAGUCGAAAGAUUAGCUAAUACCGCAUACGACCUGAGGGUGAAAGUGGGGGACCGCAAGGCCUCAUGCUAUAGGAGCGGCCGAUGUCUGAUUAGCUAGUUGGUGGGGUAAAGGCCCACCAAGGCGACGAUCAGUAGCUGGUCUGAGAGGACGAUCAGCCACACUGGGACUGAGACACGGCCCAGACUCCUACGGGAGGCAGCAGUGGGGAAUUUUGGACAAUGGGCGAAAGCCUGAUCCAGCAAUGCCGCGUGUGUGAAGAAGGCCUUCGGGUUGUAAAGCACUUUUGUCCGGAAAGAAAUGGCUCUGGUUAAUACCUGGGGUCGAUGACGGUACCGGAAGAAUAAGGACCGGCUAACUACGUGCCAGCAGCCGCGGUAAUACGUAGGGUCCAAGCGUUAAUCGGAAUUACUGGGCGU
RNAcentral lists this ribosomal RNA (525 nucleotides) under uncultured Ralstonia sp. RNAcentral's name for it is "bacterial SSU rRNA". It matches the Rfam family "Bacterial small subunit ribosomal RNA", at positions 47 to 561 of the family's 1533-position model. The record is from RNAcentral. Lineage: Bacteria; Pseudomonadati; Pseudomonadota; Betaproteobacteria; Burkholderiales; Burkholderiaceae.